UACGGAGGGUGCGAGCGUUGUCCGGAAUCAUUGGGCGUAAAGGGCGCGUAGGUGGCCCGGUCAGUUCGUGGUGAAAGCGCGGGGCUCAACUCCGCGUCGGCCAUGAAUACUGCUGGGCUUGAGCACUGUAGAGGCAGGCGGAAUUCCGGGUGUAGCGGUGGAAUGCGUAGAGAUCCGGAAGAACACCGGUGGCGAAGGCGGCCUGCUGGGCAGUAGCUGACACUGAGGCGCGACAGCGUGGGGAGCAACAGG
RNAcentral lists this ribosomal RNA (252 nucleotides) under uncultured bacterium. Its description in RNAcentral is "partial 16S ribosomal RNA". It matches the Rfam family "Bacterial small subunit ribosomal RNA", at positions 524 to 775 of the family's 1533-position model. The record is from RNAcentral.